Long non-coding RNA from Brachypodium distachyon (stiff brome), 810 nucleotides. RefSeq lists it as uncharacterized. The record is from RefSeq and is a predicted model, not a curated record. The transcript has 2 exons. Lineage: Eukaryota; Viridiplantae; Streptophyta; Magnoliopsida; Poales; Poaceae.
UCACCCAAAACAACGGUUUAAACACAUUUGAUGGUAUUUCUUACAUGUGGGUCCCGCAUGUCAGGCAUUGCAUUUUUCAUUAAAUCCCCUGACUUUUUAAUUUUUUUUCCUUAUCCCCUCAUCUUCUUCUACAAAGCCGGCAACCACCCGCUUCGCCCGCCGCCUGUGCCGCCGACCGCCCUGCACCGCCUGCGCCUCCCGUGCGCACCGCCCGCCCUGCACCGUCGCGACGCACUGCCCGCGCCGCCGCCCGCCCUGCACUGCCUCCCGCCCGCGCCGCCUGUGUUAGACUGCUGCCGAACUGUCUCCGAUCUGUUGAGAUCCGGUAGACCUGCCCGCGCCGCCGCACACGGUCCACACGCAUGGCACCCAGCCAAAUUAAUCCCGCCCCGGAAGGUGUCCCCUGCUCGUGCUGCUCCGGCGGGAGAUAAAUCCUCGACCUACAGAGAACGUUCUAUUAAAAGUUAAAACUAGCACGAGCACAGGUCGCCGGAAAUUCCGGGCGCGGCAGUUGCGGGCGGGCGCGCGGGUGAGGGGACGGUGCCGGGCGCGGGAUAGGGAGGAGGCUCCGUUCAGUGCACCUGGACAGGGAAUGGGGCAAGCAGGCACGGGCGCUGGCGAGGAUUGCGGCAGCGGGUGCGUGCGUUCUCUGGAGGUCGAGCGAACAGAAGAGGAAGACGAGCACAGCGCGGAUCGAUGAGAAAAACCCGGAUCGUAGAAAUAAAAAAAAGUCAGGGGGUUUAACAAAAGAAUGCAACGCCGGACAUGCGGGACCCACAUGUAAGAAAUACCAUCGGAUGCGUUUAAACA